CAUUUUUUAUGUCAAAUUUUUAACGCUAACCAACAACUGUUUUUGCCUUAUAAAAAUUUUAUUCUGAUCUCAUUACCCACGUUAAGUGAUUUUGAUUUUUUCUCCGGAUGUCGAUAAGAUACAAUGAAAACCGGAAGAAUGAUCUAACAGACUUAUAGCAAUUUUGUUUUUAUAAUAACAAAUUACUCAUGGACGCCCUUGUACAGAAGUAAAACAGAUCUGCCAUAAAUUGAAUUCAAUAUCAAUAAUGGAAUCAUUUAAAUUGUUUGAAAUGCUGAUUGGAUCUCGUGGUAUGUAUUCUCUUCGAAGACAUCAAACUUCCUUGAUAGAGGUUUUUUCAUAAUGAUGUUCUGCAUUCUCAUAGUUCUGAACUUCUAGAGUGUAAAUAAAAGAGAAAACGUUGAUGAAAUGUCAUAAAUAUGAUGAAAAUAAAAAUGUUCAAAA
This is a long non-coding RNA of Fopius arisanus, 444 nucleotides long. RefSeq lists it as uncharacterized. The transcript is spliced from 2 exons. The record is from RefSeq and is a predicted model, not a curated record. Lineage: Eukaryota; Metazoa; Arthropoda; Insecta; Hymenoptera; Braconidae.